RNAcentral lists this non-coding RNA (30 nucleotides) under Homo sapiens (human). Lineage: Eukaryota; Metazoa; Chordata; Mammalia; Primates; Hominidae. The record is from RNAcentral.
UAGUCAACUGAACACUGGGCCACUUACCUC